This 492-nucleotide ribosomal RNA is filed under the name uncultured bacterium. RNAcentral describes it as "partial 16S ribosomal RNA". It matches the Rfam family "Bacterial small subunit ribosomal RNA", at positions 29 to 507 of the family's 1533-position model. The record is from RNAcentral.
AGUGAACGCUGGCGGUAGGCCUAACACAUCCAAGUCGAACGGCAGCACAGUAAGAGCUUGCUCUUACGGGUGGCGAGUGGCGGACGGGUGAGGAAUACAUCGGAAUCUACUUUUUCGUGGGGGAUAACGUAGGGAAACUUACGCUAAUACCGCAUACGACCUACGGGUGAAAGCAGGGGAUCUUCGGACCUUGCGCGAUUGAAUGAGCCGAUGUCGGAUUAGCUAGUUGGCGGGGUAAAGGCCCACCAAGGCGACGAUCCGUAGCUGGUCUGAGAGGAUGAUCAGCCACACUGGAACUGAGACACGGUCCAGACUCCUACGGGAGGCAGCAGUGGGGAAUAUUGGACAAUGGGCGCAAGCCUGAUCCAGCCAUACCGCGUGGGUGAAGAAGGCCUUCGGGUCGUAAAGCCCUUUUGUUGGGAAAGAAAAGCAGCAGGUUAAUACCCCGCUGUUCUGACGGUACCCAAAGAAUAAGCACCGGCUAACUUCGUG